This 104-nucleotide ribosomal RNA is filed under the name Fukomys damarensis (Damara mole-rat). The record is from RNAcentral. Lineage: Eukaryota; Metazoa; Chordata; Mammalia; Rodentia; Bathyergidae.
GUCUAUGGACGUACCACUCUGAACGUGCCUGAUCUUGUCUGAUCUCAGAAGCUAAGCAGUGUUGGGCUUGGUUUGUACUUGGAUGGGAGAACAAGGUAAAGGUU